RNAcentral lists this ribosomal RNA (432 nucleotides) under uncultured bacterium. Its description in RNAcentral is "partial 16S ribosomal RNA". It matches the Rfam family "Bacterial small subunit ribosomal RNA", at positions 29 to 507 of the family's 1533-position model. The record is from RNAcentral.
ACGCACGCUGGCGGCAUGCCUAACACCUGCAAGUCGAACGAGACCUUCGGGUCUAGUGGCGCACGGGUGCGUAACGCGUGGGAACCUGCCCUUAGGUUCGGAAUAACUCCCCGAAAGGGGUGCUAAUACCGGAUAAUGUCUUCGGACCAAAGAUUUAUCGCCUUUGGAUGGGCCCGCGUUGGAUUAGCUAGUUGGUAGGGUAAAAGCCUACCAAGGCGACGAUCCAUAGCUGGUCUGAGAGGAUGAUCAGCCACACUGGGACUGAGACACGGCCCAGACUCCUACGGGAGGCAGCAGUGGGGAAUAUUGGACAAUGGGCGAAAGCCUGAUCCAGCAAUGCCGCGUGAGUGAUGAAGGCCUUAGGGUUGUAAAGCUCUUUUACCCGGGAUGAUAAUGACAGUACCGGGAGAAUAAGCUCCGGCUAACUCCGUG